UUCGCAAUGCCCGAAAGGGUGACGAAGCGACGCCGCGUGUGGGAAGAAGGCCUUCGGGUUGUAAACCGCUGUUGGGAGUUAGGAAGUGUGGGAGUGUUAAUAGCGCUUCCACUUGACUAAAGCUCCAGAGGAAGCCACGGCUAACUCUGUGCCAGCAGCCGCGGUAAUACAGAGGCGGCAAGCGUUGUUCGGAAUUAUUGGGCGUAAAGAGCACGUAGGCGGCUCUGCAAGUCAGCUGUGAAAGCCUUCUGCUUAACGGAAGAACAGCAGUUGAAACUACAGGGCUUGAGUGCGGGAGGGGAGAGUGGAACUUCUGGUGGAGCGGUGAAAUGCGUAGAUAUCAGAAGGAACACCGGCGGCGAAGGCGACUCUCUGGUCCAUAACUGACGCUGAGUGUGCGAAAGCUAGGGGAGCAAACGGGAUUAGAUACCCCGGUAGUCCUAGCCGUAAACGAUGGGCACUAAGUAGAGGGGUUUU
RNAcentral lists this ribosomal RNA (477 nucleotides) under uncultured bacterium. RNAcentral's name for it is "bacterial SSU rRNA". It matches the Rfam family "Bacterial small subunit ribosomal RNA", at positions 365 to 832 of the family's 1533-position model. The record is from RNAcentral.